This 425-nucleotide ribosomal RNA is filed under the name uncultured bacterium. RNAcentral's name for it is "bacterial SSU rRNA". It matches the Rfam family "Bacterial small subunit ribosomal RNA", at positions 28 to 446 of the family's 1533-position model. The record is from RNAcentral.
GACGAACGCUGGCGGCGCGCCUAACACAUGCAAGUCGAACGGAGUUAAGAGGAGCUUGCUUUUCUUAACUUAGUGGCGAACGGGUGAGUAACGCGUGAGUAACCUGCCCUGGAGUGGGGGACAACAGUUGGAAACGACUGCUAAUACCGCAUAAGCCCACGAUCCGGCAUCGGAUUGAGGGAAAAGGAUUUAUUCGCUUCAGGAUGGACUCGCGUCCAAUUAGCUAGUUGGUGAGGUAACGGCCCACCAAGGCGACGAUUGGUAGCCGGACUGAGAGGUUGAACGGCCACAUUGGGACUGAGACACGGCCCAGACUCCUACGGGAGGCAGCAGUGGGGGAUAUUGCACAAUGGGGGAAACCCUGAUGCAGCGACGCCGCGUGGAGGAAGAAGGUUUUCGGAUUGUAAACUCCUGUCGUUAGGGAC